RNAcentral lists this transfer RNA (72 nucleotides) under Camelus bactrianus (Bactrian camel). It matches the Rfam family "tRNA". Rfam says of the family: Transfer RNA (tRNA) molecules are approximately 80 nucleotides in length. Their secondary structure includes four short double-helical elements and three loops (D, anti-codon, and T loops). RNAcentral also lists the same sequence under 2 other names. The record is from Rfam by way of RNAcentral. Lineage: Eukaryota; Metazoa; Chordata; Mammalia; Artiodactyla; Camelidae.
GAGGGCAUAGCUCAGUGGUAGAGCACAUGCUUAGCAUGCAUGAGGUCCUGAGUUCAAUCCCCAAUACCCUCA